AUAAUCAGGGUCAUCCCUAGCUCAGUCGAUUCGCGACCGUCGAGUUUGGCGGUACUAUAUUGUGAUAAUUAACGAAGUAUAACGAAUAUCGAUAAAUAAUCGAAUGAUUACAUAAUUAAUAAACAUAAACUAUGGUUAUGUUGCAAAUAUCCCUGCUACCAAUUUGCCUCACCGUGGGCCUCACGUGCUGGAACGUCAAGAUGAACGCAUACACCAAAACUGGUGUACACAGUCGGAGGCCACUCUGGGAGUCGGUUCAGCAAAGUGACAUCUGUCGGCGGAAUUGUGACCGUCGGCGUCAAUUCACACACUACCAACAAUGUUUACGAGUCAGAUGACGUCACUGACAAAGCCCUCUUUGUGAAGUCAUAGUAUUUUUUAAAUCAUAAAUAGAAGUAUACCAGUGACAAAAAUGGCUCUAUAUUUUGAUGGCGCCGUCAAAAAUCCUGUGACUAUGUGGUUAGUGUCCAGUUCUUGCAAUCUGUGUCCUAAGUUUAAUUCCGAACUCAUUACAAAAUUGUAUUAGUAAAUGAUUUCGCGAUUCCUACGACCGUUUUUCAUGUAUAAAAAGACAAAAUGUAUAAUAUCUGUUCGAUUUAUUAAUAAAAUUGGUUAC
Molecule: long non-coding RNA, 616 nt
Organism: Papilio machaon (common yellow swallowtail)
Lineage: Eukaryota; Metazoa; Arthropoda; Insecta; Lepidoptera; Papilionidae
Exons: 3
Source: RefSeq, a predicted model, not a curated record